CCUACGGGGGGCAGCAGUGAGGAAUAUUGGUCAAUGGGCGGGAGCCUGAACCAGCCAAGUCGCGUGAGGGAAGACGGUCCUAUGGAUUGUAAACCUCUUUAGGCGGGGAGCAAUGCCGGGCACGUGUGCGCGGAGGGAGAGUACCCGCAGAAUAAGCAUCGGCUAACUCCGUGCCAGCAGCCGCGGUAAUACGGAGGAUGCGAGCGUUAUCCGGAUUUAGUGGGUUUAAAGGGUGCGUAGGCGGAUUUUUAAGUCAGCGGUAAAAUGUCGGGGCUCAACCCCGGCGGGCUGUUGAAACUGGUGUUCUUGAGUGGGCGAGAAGUAUGCGGAAUGCGUGGUGUAGCGGUGAAAUGCAUAGAUAUCACGCAGAACUCCGAUUGCGAAGGCAGCAUACCGGCGCCCUACUGACGCUGAGGCACGAAAGCGUGGGUAUCGAACAGGAUUAGAUACCCCAGUAGUC
RNAcentral lists this ribosomal RNA (460 nucleotides) under uncultured bacterium. Its description in RNAcentral is "partial 16S ribosomal RNA". It matches the Rfam family "Bacterial small subunit ribosomal RNA", at positions 338 to 795 of the family's 1533-position model. The record is from RNAcentral.